ACUUCUGACAGAUUUGUUCCCAUUGAUAACACCAGCCACGACUAUUACCGAUAAAAUAACAAUUCCCAGACGCUUGUCCAUGACUUAACACUGUUGUACACCAAAUCUCCAAGCCAGAGAGCGAUGGUUAGAUUAAGAUCUCAAUUCUCUUGGUACAAAAGGUCACUUGACACCAAAGCAGACUUUCAGUGACUUCAAACAAAAUGUACGCUAUUUAAUAUGACGACUUGAUGGUUCCACUGUUCGCAGCAAAUGAGAUGUGACCGCGAGUGCUACAUCACCCCAAAAGUGUUUUGUUUUUAAUAUUAUCCCAAAAAGGCCAAAGCAAUUUAAUAUAUUUUCAUGCAAUCAAGUGACAAUGUCACACAUUAAGUUGUCAACCACGGCUUGACAACAGUGAAUAUCCAGCAGUAACCUCUGACUGGUGCUAAUUUUGUUAUAAUAAAUACGCUUCGUUGGUGUCCAUUUAACUAAAAAAAGAACGAUCUUCCUUUCGUGAAGAGGAAAACAGUUGAAUCAAGUUGAUCGUGGGUUGGUCAAGACGGACAGAUUUCAAGUGUUUUUAAUAUCAAGUGUAAAAGGAUAUAUUGAUUCAUAUGGGCAUAUGUUAAUCUAACUGAUCAAACAACGACGUGGGAUUCUUUUUGUCUAUGUAUUAGCGUAGUCAUGCAUGAGGUCGCAAGCGCGUAGGCAGGGUAACACAUCGGUAAGGUCGGAGCUUGGAAACAUAUACAACAACCCGAGGGUCAUUGC
Paramuricea clavata is the source of this 753-nucleotide non-coding RNA. NCBI's taxonomy places the organism in Eukaryota, Metazoa, Cnidaria, Anthozoa, Malacalcyonacea, Plexauridae. The record is from the annotation of a GenBank genome assembly.